UAUUAUUCCCUAAUCGGUUUAAAGGUUUUGAUCUAUGCUUAUACUUGAAUUGCUAUGGUUGAAUAUAAUGCAGAUACUUCUUUCAUGUGAAUUGGAGUCUAGAGGAAUUAUCUGCUCCUCAACCAAAUAUGUGAUGGCUUGAUCUAGUUUUGUUUUUCACAUGGGCAUUUUUCAUGAAAUUUUUGUGAGGCUUUAUUCAUGUUAACUAAAUGCAAGAGGUUAAUAUUCAGAUAUGAUGAUCUUUUGGGAAUCUAAAAUCAUUAGCUACUAUCAGAUUUAUUUGAAGUCAUUGAUCGAAGAGCAAAGCUAGUUGUGAGUGAGUUGUCAGAUGAGUAGACCAUACAGCCACCAGGUAUGCAUCCCAAUGCAUUUAAUGGUUUUCUAUUUGACAAUGUGUUUUGUUUGUACCUGGAGGGGGAACACCUUUGUUUUGAGCAUUUACACAUGCUUUUCAUGGAUUUUAAUUUUAAUUUUUAAUUUUUAAUUAUUUUUUUAUUGGUUGUCUGCUACUUAACUUUUCGUCGUUUUCUUCUGGCAACAAAUAAGCUUCCAAUGGUAAAGAAACUCAAGCCAAGAGGGAGAAAUCAAAGGAGAAGGGUCAGUUGACACUCUCCAUUGCUGAACCACCUAAUCUUACAACAAGUGUGACAUCUGAUAAAGAUGAAGAUGCCCCAUCUGAAAAUGCUGCUGCCAUUUCCAGUAAUUUUACAGACCAAAAAAGUACAGAUGUUUUUGGCGAGUUGUGGAAAUUGAAGCUAUUUCCUAAAGAAAGGAAGUGUCAUUAUCAGUCAUCAGAUUUGACGCCACUCGUGCAAGACUUUAAUCAAUUGUGCCUAAAUUUAGGCCUACAAGCACUUCAGCCUUUUGAUGCCACUCGUGCUAAGGAGUAGACCAUAUAGAGGAUUUGUUAUUUAUUUAUUUAUAUUCAAGACCAUUUUCAAUUUAUUGUAAUAAAUAUUAUAUUUUUUUAUUGUAUAGUAAUAUAAAUUUUGUUUAAUA
Long non-coding RNA from Magnolia sinica, 999 nucleotides. RefSeq lists it as uncharacterized. The transcript is spliced from 2 exons. The record is from RefSeq and is a predicted model, not a curated record. Lineage: Eukaryota; Viridiplantae; Streptophyta; Magnoliopsida; Magnoliales; Magnoliaceae.